Non-coding RNA from Podarcis lilfordi (Lilford's wall lizard), 69 nucleotides. NCBI's taxonomy places the organism in Eukaryota, Metazoa, Chordata, Lepidosauria, Squamata, Lacertidae. The record is from the annotation of a GenBank genome assembly.
GGAUAGCUCAGUUGAUACCGCACGAGACUCUUAAUCUCAUGGUUGUGGGUUCAAGCCCCAUGUUGGGCA